RNAcentral lists this ribosomal RNA (253 nucleotides) under uncultured bacterium. Its description in RNAcentral is "partial 16S ribosomal RNA". It matches the Rfam family "Bacterial small subunit ribosomal RNA", at positions 524 to 776 of the family's 1533-position model. The record is from RNAcentral.
UACGUAGGGUGCGAGCGUUGUCCGGAAUUAUUGGGCGUAAAGAGCUCGUAGGCGGUCUGUCGCGUCUGCUGUGAAAACUCGGGGCUUAACCCCGGGCCUGCAGUGGGUACGGGCAGACUAGAGUGCGGUAGGGGAGACUGGAAUUCCUGGUGUAGCGGUGAAAUGCGCAGAUAUCAGGAGGAACACCGGUGGCGAAGGCGGGACUCUGGGCCGAUACUGACGCUGAGGAGCGAAAGCGUGGGGAGCAAACAGG